UAUAUCGCAAGCGAGGAUAAUUUAGCGGACAUAUUCACAAAACCGGUAAGUAAAGUUAGGAUGGAUAAGUUCAAACAUUUUAUCUGUAAUUAGUUGUGAAGUAGGAGUAAAGUAGGCGAAGUUAGGACAUUGCGAGCAAGGGGGGGUGUUAAGUUGUGCUCUUAUGUAUUACGUAAUUUAUGUUAUUAAAGUAGAAACAAUUGUUAGUUGUAAUGUUAUUAGUAAUUACAUAUAGAUAAAGAGCAAGAGACUCAUGACUAUAUUUGGUAAAUAUCUGACCAAUCACCGUAAAGCGUAACUUAUGUAAAUAGUGUAUAUUCAGGGACGCCGG
This is a non-coding RNA of Paramuricea clavata, 331 nucleotides long. The record is from the annotation of a GenBank genome assembly. NCBI's taxonomy places the organism in Eukaryota, Metazoa, Cnidaria, Anthozoa, Malacalcyonacea, Plexauridae.